RNAcentral lists this ribosomal RNA (565 nucleotides) under uncultured Phenylobacterium sp. Its description in RNAcentral is "bacterial SSU rRNA". It matches the Rfam family "Bacterial small subunit ribosomal RNA", at positions 333 to 916 of the family's 1533-position model. Lineage: Bacteria; Pseudomonadati; Pseudomonadota; Alphaproteobacteria; Caulobacterales; Caulobacteraceae. The record is from RNAcentral.
UCACUCCUACGGGAGGCAGCAGUAGGGAAUCUUGCGCAAUGGGCGAAAGCCUGACGCAGCCUUGCCGCGUGUAUGAUGAAGGUCUUAGGAUUGUAAAAUACUUUCACCGGGGAAGAUAAUGACGGUACCCGGAGAAGAAGCCCCGGCUAACUUCGUGCCAGCAGCCGCGGUAAUACAAAGGGGGCUAGCGUUGCUCGGAAUUACUGGGCGUAAAGGGCGCGUAGGCGGACAGUUUAUUCGGAGGUGAAAGCCCAGGGCUCAACCUUGGAAUUGCCUUUGAUACUGGCUGUCUUGAGUUCGGGAGAGGUGAGUGGAAUGCCCAGUGUAUAGGUGAAAUUCGUAGAUGUUCGGCGGAACACCAGUGGCGAAGGCGACUCACUGGCCCGAUACUGACUCUCAGGCGCGAAAGCGUGGGGAGCAAACAGGAUUAAAUACCCUGGUAGUCCACGCUGUAAACAAUGAGUGCUAGUUGUCGGCAUGCAUGCAUGUCGGUGACGCAGCUUACGCAUUAAGCACUCCCCCUGGGGAGUACGGUCGCAAGAUUAAAACUCAAAAGAAUUGACGG